This is a long non-coding RNA of Orbicella faveolata, 1320 nucleotides long. NCBI's taxonomy places the organism in Eukaryota, Metazoa, Cnidaria, Anthozoa, Scleractinia, Merulinidae. The record is from RefSeq and is a predicted model, not a curated record.
UUUUCUUUGAUUUGUCAGAUAUUUGACGAGGCUGAUCUGGAUGACGAUAGUCAACUUUCAUUUGCUGAAUUUGAGCACGUGAUAUCAAAGGCACCAGACUUUGUCAACUCCUUUAGGAUCCGUGUUUGAGGACCAACCGUGCGCUCCGGAUUAUUCAAAACAUCUUUACCAUCUAUUUACUCAAUAAGCCUGUUUGGUGCAAAUUUGAACUAAACUCAGGGUUAUGUGAGGCAAUCGAAUAUCACUACAUUUGCUGCAUACAUAUCAGUGGAAAAUGAAGCUUUCUGAGAUAUGUUUAUGGUAAAGCAGGGCCGUAAUUGUAUUUAUGCAUGCAUGGGCACAAAUGUAAACUCUACUCUCUUCUCUUUUGUAACAAAAUAGACAGGUGUACUAUUUUUUGACGUUGUUUGCGGCUUAUCGAGCGUGUGUAUCUGUAAUAUAGUUUUGUAGAGAUCUUUUUACCACUUAAAUGCAAGCUCAAUACGUCUUUGCUCGGAAUUCUGGCUGAAGUAACUUGUCCUCUUUCUUAGUACGCAUGCGUCAACCCAACAAGCACUGAAAGAGUUUUCACAAAAAUAUACUGCUACCUGUAUUUUUCAGUGAUGGGAAAUUUUGCAGAAUUUUUUAUCUGAAGCUAAAUGCCAUUUUAAAGGUUUGACUUUGAUGUAUAUAAAAUCGUCUAAGAUAGUACUCUUUCUACGCUAUCGGUGACUGUUUUAUAACACACCUAGUUUUCCGUACGUACAAUAAUGGUUUUCAGUCAUACUGUUCGCGGAGAGAACUGACGGAGGUUUCUUUUUGCAGUGGGAGGCUAGAGCUUUAUCGUACAGUGCUUCUCUCUCUCACUAGUAGCACUUACUUUCAUGGCUUGCUCUCGAUGGAAAUUAUCAUCUUAGAAUAAGUAAUCGAAAACGACUUACAAGGUUUUCCUUCUAAUACAGCUUAAGCUUUCCUCAGGGUCAAGAAAACUGCCUAUUGGCGCUUUAAUUCCUAAAACGUAGCUUGUAAAAUGUGUCUUCCUAACGCAUUUCCUUGAGCGUCAGAUUAACCAACCCUAUACGCCUGCUAGUGUCUUGAUAUUAGAACACGUAUCUCUGAGCUCUUGAGUGUCUAAAAAACCUUUCUAAUGUUGCGAUAGUUCAGCCUCCUGACUUGUGAAUCAAAGAGGAAAGUAUUUUAGACUGGCAUUGUAGGCUAGGGUUUGUACAGGGUAUAUAAAUAAUUUGCACGAAGCAAUCGGCAAUGGAAUGUAACAUACGGGUGUCUAGCGUAAAUGCUCCGAUUUUUAUUUAAUAAACAAUUGAAAAAAAAACAACAACA